UGUACUAGGUUGCUGCAAAAGUGAUUGCGGUUUUUGCGAUUACUUUUAAUGGCAGAAACCGCAAUUACUUUUGCACCAACCUAUACUUUU
This 90-nucleotide microRNA precursor is filed under the name Chlorocebus sabaeus (green monkey). RNAcentral describes it as "miRNA (ENSCSAG00000019943.1)". The record is from RNAcentral. Lineage: Eukaryota; Metazoa; Chordata; Mammalia; Primates; Cercopithecidae.